Molecule: ribosomal RNA, 2901 nt
Filed under: Klebsiella quasipneumoniae
Lineage: Bacteria; Pseudomonadati; Pseudomonadota; Gammaproteobacteria; Enterobacterales; Enterobacteriaceae
Description: bacterial LSU rRNA
Rfam family: Bacterial large subunit ribosomal RNA
Source: RNAcentral
UUAAGCGACUAAGCGUACACGGUGGAUGCCCUGGCAGUCAGAGGCGAUGAAGGACGUGCUAAUCUGCGAAAAGCGUCGGUAAGGUGAUAUGAACCGUUAUAACCGGCGAUGUCCGAAUGGGGAAACCCAGUGUGAUUCGUCACACUAUCGUUAACUGAAUACAUAGGUUAACGAGGCGAACCGGGGGAACUGAAACAUCUAAGUACCCCGAGGAAAAGAAAUCAACCGAGAUUCCCCCAGUAGCGGCGAGCGAACGGGGAGCAGCCCAGAGUCUGAAUCAGCUUGUGUGUUAGUGGAACGGUCUGGAAAGUCCGACGGUACAGGGUGAUAGUCCCGUACACCAAAAUGCACAGGCUGUGAACUCGAAGAGUAGGGCGGGACACGUGGUAUCCUGUCUGAAUAUGGGGGGACCAUCCUCCAAGGCUAAAUACUCCUGACUGACCGAUAGUGAACCAGUACCGUGAGGGAAAGGCGAAAAGAACCCCGGCGAGGGGAGUGAAAAAGAACCUGAAACCGUGUACGUACAAGCAGUGGGAGCACCUUUAUGGUGUGACUGCGUACCUUUUGUAUAAUGGGUCAGCGACUUAUAUUCUGUAGCAAGGUUAACCGUAUAGGGGAGCCGCAGGGAAACCGAGUCUUAACUGGGCGUUAAGUUGCAGGGUAUAGACCCGAAACCCGGUGAUCUAGCCAUGGGCAGGUUGAAGGUUGGGUAACACUAACUGGAGGACCGAACCGACUAAUGUUGAAAAAUUAGCGGAUGACUUGUGGCUGGGGGUGAAAGGCCAAUCAAACCGGGAGAUAGCUGGUUCUCCCCGAAAGCUAUUUAGGUAGCGCCUCGUGAACUCAUCUUCGGGGGUAGAGCACUGUUUCGGCUAGGGGGUCAUCCCGACUUACCAACCCGAUGCAAACUACGAAUACCGAAGAAUGUUAUCACGGGAGACACACGGCGGGUGCUAACGUCCGUCGUGAAGAGGGAAACAACCCAGACCGCCAGCUAAGGUCCCAAAGUCAUGGUUAAGUGGGAAACGAUGUGGGAAGGCACAGACAGCCAGGAUGUUGGCUUAGAAGCAGCCAUCAUUUAAAGAAAGCGUAAUAGCUCACUGGUCGAGUCGGCCUGCGCGGAAGAUGUAACGGGGCUAAACCAUGCACCGAAGCUGCGGCAGCGACACUAUGUGUUGUUGGGUAGGGGAGCGUUCUGUAAGCCUGCGAAGGUGGCCUGUGAGGGUCGCUGGAGGUAUCAGAAGUGCGAAUGCUGACAUAAGUAACGAUAAAGCGGGUGAAAAGCCCGCUCGCCGGAAGACCAAGGGUUCCUGUCCAACGUUAAUCGGGGCAGGGUGAGUCGACCCCUAAGGCGAGGCCGAAAGGCGUAGUCGAUGGGAAACAGGUUAAUAUUCCUGUACUUGGUGUUACUGCGAAGGGGGGACGGAGAAGGCUAUGUUAGCCGGGCGACGGUUGUCCCGGUUUAAGCAUGUAGGCUGGUUAUCCAGGCAAAUCCGGAUAAUCAAGGCUGAGGUGUGAUGACGAGGCACUACGGUGCUGAAGUAACAAAUGCCCUGCUUCCAGGAAAAGCCUCUAAGCAUCAGGUAACAUCAAAUCGUACCCCAAACCGACACAGGUGGUCAGGUAGAGAAUACCAAGGCGCUUGAGAGAACUCGGGUGAAGGAACUAGGCAAAAUGGUGCCGUAACUUCGGGAGAAGGCACGCUGGUGUGUAGGUGAAGUCCCUGCGGAUGGAGCUGAGACCAGUCGAAGAUACCAGCUGGCUGCAACUGUUUAUUAAAAACACAGCACUGUGCAAACACGAAAGUGGACGUAUACGGUGUGACGCCUGCCCGGUGCCGGAAGGUUAAUUGAUGGGGUUAUCCGUAAGGAGAAGCUCUUGAUCGAAGCCCCGGUAAACGGCGGCCGUAACUAUAACGGUCCUAAGGUAGCGAAAUUCCUUGUCGGGUAAGUUCCGACCUGCACGAAUGGCGUAAUGAUGGCCAGGCUGUCUCCACCCGAGACUCAGUGAAAUUGAACUCGCUGUGAAGAUGCAGUGUACCCGCGGCAAGACGGAAAGACCCCGUGAACCUUUACUAUAGCUUGACACUGAACAUUGAGCCUUGAUGUGUAGGAUAGGUGGGAGGCUUUGAAGCGUGGACGCCAGUCUGCGUGGAGCCAACCUUGAAAUACCACCCUUUAAUGUUUGAUGUUCUAACGUUGGCCCCUUACCGGGGUUGCGGACAGUGUCUGGUGGGUAGUUUGACUGGGGCGGUCUCCUCCCAAAGCGUAACGGAGGAGCACGAAGGUUAGCUAAUCCUGGUCGGACAUCAGGAGGUUAGUGCAAUGGCAUAAGCUAGCUUGACUGCGAGCGUGACGGCGCGAGCAGGUGCGAAAGCAGGUCAUAGUGAUCCGGUGGUUCUGAAUGGAAGGGCCAUCGCUCAACGGAUAAAAGGUACUCCGGGGAUAACAGGCUGAUACCGCCCAAGAGUUCAUAUCGACGGCGGUGUUUGGCACCUCGAUGUCGGCUCAUCACAUCCUGGGGCUGAAGUAGGUCCCAAGGGUAUGGCUGUUCGCCAUUUAAAGUGGUACGCGAGCUGGGUUUAGAACGUCGUGAGACAGUUCGGUCCCUAUCUGCCGUGGGCGCUGGAGAAUUGAGGGGGGCUGCUCCUAGUACGAGAGGACCGGAGUGGACGCAUCACUGGUGUUCGGGUUGUCAUGCCAAUGGCACUGCCCGGUAGCUAAAUGCGGAAGAGAUAAGUGCUGAAAGCAUCUAAGCACGAAACUUGCCCCGAGAUGAGUUCUCCCUGAGACUUUAAGUCUCCUGAAGGAACGUUGAAGACGACGACGUUGAUAGGCCGGGUGUGUAAGCGCAGCGAUGCGUUGAGCUAACCGGUACUAAUGAACCGUGAGGCUUAACCUU